This 86-nucleotide transfer RNA is filed under the name Turnera subulata. It matches the Rfam family "tRNA". From Rfam's summary of the family: Transfer RNA (tRNA) molecules are approximately 80 nucleotides in length. Their secondary structure includes four short double-helical elements and three loops (D, anti-codon, and T loops). Further hydrogen bonds mediate the characteristic L-shaped molecular structure. tRNAs have two regions of fundamental functional importance: the anti-codon, which is responsible for specific mRNA codon recognition, and the 3' end, to which the tRNAs corresponding amino acid is attached (by aminoacyl-tRNA synthetases). tRNAs cope with the degeneracy of the genetic code in two manners: having more than one tRNA (with a specific anti-codon) for a particular amino acid; and 'wobble' base-pairing, i.e. permitting non-standard base-pairing at the 3rd anti-codon position. Lineage: Eukaryota; Viridiplantae; Streptophyta; Magnoliopsida; Malpighiales; Passifloraceae. The record is from Rfam by way of RNAcentral.
GACAGGAUGGCCGAGUGGUCUAAGGCGGUAGACUUAGCAUCUAUUCCUUGUUAAAGAGGGCGUGGGUUCAAAUCCUACUCCUGACA